RNAcentral lists this ribosomal RNA (497 nucleotides) under uncultured bacterium. Its description in RNAcentral is "partial 16S ribosomal RNA". It matches the Rfam family "Bacterial small subunit ribosomal RNA", at positions 28 to 507 of the family's 1533-position model. The record is from RNAcentral.
GAUGAACGCUGGCGGCGUGCCUAAUACAUGCAAGUCGAGCGAACGGACGAGAAGCUUGCUUUUCUGAUGUUAGUGGCGGACGGGUGAGUAACACGUGGAUAACCUACCUAUAAGACUGGGAUAACUUCGGGAAACCGGAGCUAAUACCGUAUAAUAUUUUGAACCGCAUGGUUCAAAAGUGAAAGACGGUCUUGCUGUCACUUAUAGAUGGAUCCGCGCUGCAUUAGCUAGUUGGUAAGGUAACGGCUUACCAAGGCGACGAUGCAUAGACGAACUGAGAGGGUGAUAGCCCACACUGGAACUGAGACACGGUCCAGACUCCUACGGGAGGCAGCAGUAGGGAAUCGUCCGCAAUGGGCGAAAGCCUGACGGAGCAACGCCGCGUGAGUGAUGAAGGUCUUCGGAUCGUAAAAAUCUGUUAUUAGGGAAGAACAUAUGUGUAAGUAACUGUGCACAUCUUGACGGUACCUAAUCAGAAAGCCACGGCUAACUACGUG